RNAcentral lists this ribosomal RNA (403 nucleotides) under uncultured bacterium. RNAcentral describes it as "bacterial SSU rRNA". It matches the Rfam family "Bacterial small subunit ribosomal RNA", at positions 355 to 773 of the family's 1533-position model. The record is from RNAcentral.
CAAGGAAUUUUCGUCAAUGGGGGCAACCCUGAACGAGCAACGCCGCGUGGGCGAAGAAGUCCUUCGGGAUGUAAAGCCCUUUUCCCUGUGAAGAAAGAAAGACGGUAACAGGGGAAUAAGCAUCGGCUAACUACGUGCCAGCAGCCGCGGUAAUACGUAGGAUGCAAGCGUUGUCCGGAAUUAUUGGGCGUAAAGAGCGCGCAGGCGGUGUGCCAAGUCAGAUGUGAAAUAUCCGGGCUUAACUCGGAGGGGUCAUUUGAAACUGGUAGACUAGAGUACAGCAGAGGAUAGUGGAAUUCCCGGUGUAGUGGUGAAAUGCGUAGAUAUCGGGAGGAACACCAGUGGCGAAGGCGACUAUCUGGGCUGAAACUGACGCUGAGGCGCGAAGGCUAGGGGAGCAAAC